RNAcentral lists this small RNA (2021 nucleotides) under Rattus norvegicus (Norway rat). RNAcentral describes it as "uncharacterized LOC102548287". Lineage: Eukaryota; Metazoa; Chordata; Mammalia; Rodentia; Muridae. The record is from RNAcentral.
ACUCCAAGAAAAGUAAUCAUUUUCUCUGGAAAAGAAAUCAAUCUUGAACGUCAGGAGCAGUGAGGAUUUGUUUGAGAUAUUUUAACCUAAAUUGGCUCAUCUCACACUCUGUCUAUAGGAGCACAAUAGAUGAACUUUGGGGAGAGUUGAUCCUGUCAUCUCAGCUCCUCACCCACAGACCUGGGUGGCCACAGCAAUCCAUAUGGCCCAGCAAUCAGAAUUGAUUAGGAAGUCCUGGAAUGGAAAGGCUGGCCAGGAGUGGAUUAGCUGCCUGGGUAUAGAAACAUUUGGGGCUCCUGUGUUCAGGGUAGCAGUCAUGCUUCUUACACUCCCAGCAAAGAGAAGAAAACCAACUAGCCAUUCCCGGGAUGAUCUGAACAACCACAGCACUCUAGCAGACAGCCUCUGCCCCAGUCUAGGGAAGUGCCUAUGUAGACAGGACUUCUCCACAGCAAUGGGUAGAUUGCAUGUCCUCAUGUCUGCCUGAUAGCACAGGGCCUCAAAACCCAUGUUGUACCAAAACCAGACUAAGGUAAGUCAGUCGGUGAUGUCACUGAUGUUACUGGUGAUGUCACUGAUGUUACUGGUGAUGUCACUGAUGUUACUGAGCCAACCUCCUUUCCAACUGUGCACACAGCCUAGACAACUCUCUCUGGAAACAUAUUAAUUCUCCGUGUCACAGUGAUGCUCUGUUGUUGGCUUCAUGGAUGUAGGCUUAGCUGGGUGUCCCUGUUAGUCCUCCCAGCACACAAGGCAUACCAACCGGGAUUGAGAUGCAAACAAUUGGUCUAUCCGGAUACUUUAUCUUUAUGGUGUCCAGAACCCUAUUGUGGAGGCAGGGAUUCCGACUUGGGGACUGUAAGUCAAGCUUCUUGGCAGUAUGAACCUCUGGCCCUCUAGUGAGAAAGCUCUAUGCCCAUCUCAAUUCUGCUCCCACAUGCCUUCAUUUAAAUGUUGACUUCCUGAAAAAAAGGUUCACAAGGCUCUGCGGGACAUAUGCUUCUCCGUGUACUGGGCGUUCAUUUCCCAGAAAUCACCUUCUCACCAGAUAGACAGGCAUGAAAUGACCAGCAGUCCACCUGAACUCAGUGCUAAGGGCAGGGCGCUCCCACCCCACCUGUGGUCUCUAUGCCACACACAGGCCUUCCAGCUUUCUUUCCUCGGCUGUGACAAAGGAGUGGUAAGCUGGCACGGAAAGUCUCGGGCAAACCCAUGAAUCAGUGAUGACACAGCACAUCUUGAAUCCACCGCAGGUGGUUGCACAGGUAACCAGGGUCUCUCUUUCACUAAGCUGGACUGCACCUUGAAACUGUGAGCCAAAGUUAACCCUUUCAUAACAUGCCGUUUACACUUAAUUUUUCACAGCAACCAAACAGACUCUGGAGCCAGGAAGCUCAGUGCUUGGGUCUGCUGCAAACUGCUGGAAGCGUAAAUGGGAAGAAAGUUCUCUCUGCAUAGCUCACAGCUCUGCACUGAUCUCAGCGCUGUCGGAAGUGUGUACCGGGAUUCCGUCUUUCUCACUUGUUUUCUGUGCUCAGGGCUGUUGCAGGCAAAGGUCUUUUGCUAACGAGGCGAGCAACGGGAGAUGGUGAGAGUUGGUCGAUGGCAGUUGAGAACAGGACAUGAAAAGAUGUUUCCAUACAUUGCCGAAAGAGAAAGAGGAGGAACCAUCAGAGUGUGGGAGAAGGAAUGAUGCCCAUGACUGAUCCAAGGAUGCUCUGGGUGUUAGCUCCAGCAGACAGUGCUGGGUGCAUGCUUGCUCAGCGCUUGUAUAUGCUGACCCCUAACCUUGCUGACCCAACCCUUGCAGAUAGAAGUCCCUAACCUUGCUAUCCCAACCCUUGCUAAUGAUGACCUGUAACCUUUCUAUUUCAGCCUUUGCAGAUGUGGGCCCUUGACACUGUAAUCAUCUUUGUUAGGUGUGCAAAAGAUGACCCUCCGAACCAUAUGAACACAGUUCUGGGAACUGUGCCCUCUAUGUUCAAACUAAUAUAAACAAGAAUGUAAGGAAAAGAACCCCA